RNAcentral lists this ribosomal RNA (379 nucleotides) under uncultured bacterium. RNAcentral's name for it is "bacterial SSU rRNA". It matches the Rfam family "Bacterial small subunit ribosomal RNA", at positions 355 to 750 of the family's 1533-position model. The record is from RNAcentral.
UAGGGAAUAUUAGUUAAUGUGCGAAAGCGCGAACUAGCAACGCCGCGUGUGCGAUGAAGGUCUUCGGAUCGUAAAGCACUUUUCGAGAAGAUGAGGAAGGACAGUACUCUCGGAAUAAGUCUCGGCUAACUACGUGCCAGCAGCCGCGGUAAAACGUAGGAGGCAAGCGUUAUCCGGAUUUACUGGGCGUAAAGCGCGUGCAGGCGGUUUGGUAAGUUGGAUGUGAAAGCUCCCGGCUCAACUGGGAGAGGUCGUUCAAAACUACCAGACUUGAGGGCGGUAGAGGGAAGUGGAAGUCGGGGUGUAGGGGUGAAAUGCGUAGAUAUACGGAGGAAAACCAGUGGCGAAAGCGGCUUACUGGAGCGAUCCUGACGCUGAG